UACGUAGGGGGCCAGCGUUGUCCGGAUUCAUUGGGCGUAAAGCGCGUGUAGGCGGCCAGGUAGGUCCGACGUGAAAACUGGAGGCUCAACCUCCAGCUGUCGUCGGAAACCCUCUGGCUAGAGUCCGGAAGAGGAGAGUGGAAUUCCUGGUGUAGCGGUGAAAUGCGCAGAUAUCAGGAAGAACACCGAUGGCGAAGGCAGCUCUCUGGGACGGUACUGACGCUGAGACGCGAAAGCGUGGGGAGCGAACAGG
Molecule: ribosomal RNA, 253 nt
Filed under: uncultured bacterium
Lineage: Bacteria
Description: partial 16S ribosomal RNA
Rfam family: Bacterial small subunit ribosomal RNA
Source: RNAcentral